GGAGCAAUGGCUUUAUUUGGGGACUGCCCCUGCAGCCCCCUCCCCAGCACCCGGCACCCAUCCUGCCCCUCCCCGAGUCCUUGUCCCCCCACUUUGCCACAGCCCAGCCCCGGCCCCCCCAGAUCCCACUGGAGGAGCCGGGGCCGCAUCCUGCCCCGGGGGCACAGGGGAGCUGCUGGGGCUGGGGGGGCUCAGGCACUGGGACUCUUCAUGUCACCCAGAGCCACCGAGGCUGCUCCCGCUGCUCCUCCUGCUCCGCCUGCCCGGGAUGGGCCCCACGAUGGGGGUGACCAUGAGACAGGGCCAUGGGACCCCCAGAUGGCACCCAUGGCCCCACUCACCGGCCGCCGUGGGCUGCAGGACCAGGCUGCAGAGGAGCUGCCGGGGGGCAGCACCGGCCACGUAGCAGGAGUAAUUCCCGAAGUCGGGAUCGCUGAGGUUCCUCAGGAGCAGGGCCAGGCCGGCGGCCCCCGGCCCCGUGGCGCAGAAGGACACCCUGCCCCUAAACUGGUUGUCGGGCUCCUCCGGUGGGAUCCAGCCCGGCUCCGGCGGGAGCCAGCCCAGGCGGUGCCGGAGGACGGGAAUGGGGUGGUGGGUCCCAUUCUGGUGGGUGCAGCUGAGGGUGACCCCCCGUAGGUGACCCCAUGGCUGGGUGCUGCAGGGCAGGCAGGCGUCAUCCCCGAUGGAUGCGGUGACGGUGACGGGGGGCUGGUCUGUGGGCAGCCAGGGCCCAGAGCAUCACGAUGGGGAACAGCACCAUCCUGCCGGCAUCCGGACCCACCACCCGCGCCGCACCGAGACCCCGCAGCCGCCGCGGC
RNAcentral lists this long non-coding RNA (818 nucleotides) under Strigops habroptila (Kakapo). Its description in RNAcentral is "lncRNA (ENSSHBG00005012351.1)". The record is from RNAcentral. Lineage: Eukaryota; Metazoa; Chordata; Aves; Psittaciformes; Psittacidae.